RNAcentral lists this unclassified non-coding RNA (90 nucleotides) under Pseudomonas lini. Lineage: Bacteria; Pseudomonadati; Pseudomonadota; Gammaproteobacteria; Pseudomonadales; Pseudomonadaceae. The record is from RNAcentral.
GUGGGAGCCGGGCUUGCCCGCGAUAGCGGUUUGUCAGUCGACAUUUUUGGUGGGACUGAAAUCGCCAUCGCGGGCAAGCCCGGCUCCCAC